Molecule: ribosomal RNA, 515 nt
Filed under: uncultured marine bacterium
Lineage: Bacteria
Description: bacterial SSU rRNA
Rfam family: Bacterial small subunit ribosomal RNA
Source: RNAcentral
GUGAUGAAGGCCUUAGGGUCGUAAAGCUCUUUCGCCUGUGAAGAUAAUGACUGUAGCAGGUAAAGAAACCCCGGCUAACUCCGUGCCAGCAGCCGCGGUAAUACGGAGGGGGUUAGCGUUGUUCGGAAUUACUGGGCGUAAAGCGCACCUAGGCGGAUCACAAAGUUGGGGGUGAAAUCCCAGGGCACAACCCUGGAACUGCCUCCAAAACUCCUGGUCUUCAGUUCGAGAGAGGUGAGUGGAAUUCCGAGUGUAGAGGUGAAAUUCGUAAAUAUUCAUGAGGAACACCAGUGGCGAAGGCGGCUCACUGGCUCGAUACUGACGCUGAGGUGCGAAAGUGUGGGGAGCAAACAGGAUUAGAUACCCUGGUAGUCCACACCGUAAACGAUGAAUGCCAGUCGUCGGGUAGCAUGCUAUUCGGUGACACACCUAACGGAUUAAGCAUUCCGCCUGGGGAGUACGGUCGCAAGAUUAAACUCAAAGGAAUUGACGGGGGCCCGCACAAGCGGUCGAGC